ACAUGUAGGCUACUCUAUGGUAUUUCUUGCUUCUCCUAUGGUAUGAUAAGAAUAUUUCUCUUUUUCACAAGGGUAGUCGCACUUAAUGUUGAAUAUAUUACAGCUGCAGUCGGUGGUGAUGCAGUUAGUCUCAUAACCAGGGAGGUGAAGCACUGAACUGUCAGGUGACCCUCACAGACCACCAUUCAGAACCACAUCUGAGAUUUUGUUUAAAUUCUAUAUUAUUUGAUAUAGACUUUGUCCAUAAAACAAAUCAUUUGUGCAUAUGUACUUUGACACAAUGGUGAGACUAUAGAGAAUAUUUACGCUGCUUAUUUCUGAUUGGCAGCAGCUAUGGUAAAAGAGCAAAUGAACUCACAUGUGCAACUACAAAAAGUGAUAUGCACCAAUCAGAAAUGCAGAACUCAUGUUGGUAUUUUACGUGAGGCUUAAAAUGCUAUUCAGCUAAUAUCCAUGACAAUCAUGCUAAGAACGAGAGUAACAUUUAAAAGUAUAUGAAUGUAAAAAAAAAAAAAAAGAUUUUAUGAGUUUUUAUUGUUAUUUCAGAGACCAAAGAUCACAAAACACCCAAAUGUAUCUGAAAGUUAUAUAAAAAAAGAAAUUUCAUUGGAAGUUCUGACAUGAACAACAGCUUAUCAGCUGCAGGGAUUGGAUCUUUUAACUUUAAUGAACUGAUAUUGAUUUCAUGCAACAUUGCCUGUGAGCUCUUCUACAUCACUUUUAACCACAUUCACUUGUUACACUGCACUGCCCCCCGGUUUGUGCACCACUGAAGCCAGGCAGCAGCUGAAGAAUCCCCUUUAUGAUAUGGAGGCAACACGCGUUGACGUGUCGCGCUGCGCUUCCGACCUCUAGUAUCGGUAUGCGUCUUCUGCUCACACACCCACACACACACACACACACACACACAACUCUCUCAUGGGGACAUGCGGCCAGGAGAAGCAGCCACGGACUCCCUUCAGACUUCAAACAGCAGAUGGACACCCCAGGAAAGGCAGUGGAAAGUCCCCCAGCGUCCAUCUGUGGCAGUCAAAAUGGACGCUGCAACAGCCAGGCUCGGUCGGCCAUCUUGGUUUCAGCGUGAAAGCACAGGGACUGUACGACGCUGAAAGAGGCAAAGAGGGACAUGAGGAGGGAAAUGGCAGUUUAAGCUUCUUUGCCACAUGCACCUCAAACUGUAAAUGCUCUUUUUAAUCUGUCAAUUUUUAUUGAUUUCUGUAAAUCUUCCCACAUGGAUCUGGAGGGAACAGAUGCAGCAAAAAUGCUGGUAAUCAUCCAAAAGGUUAAAACAAUCUUUUUGCUAAAAAUGAAAAGAUAACAAGACUAGGAGUCUUCAGCCAUGCUAGCAGCUCUGUGAGGCUGUACUUAGGUAGUGCUUUGAGCUAAACGCUAACAACAACAUGCUAACGUGCUCACUGCAACAAUGCUAACAUGCUACUGUUUAGCAGGUAUUUACCAGGUUUACUAUAUAUAUAUCUAUCUAACCACCAAAGUUAGUACCACUGACCGACAGAUAAAAUUAAGCAAUGUCUACUUGACAAGUAAAAAAGCAAAGAUUAAAGGAAAGUCUCAUCAUCACAUCCUCACCCAGAUAGCUGAACCUGGCAAUGUUCCAGGAAAAGUGUUUUAACAGGUCCCGCAGAGCUGGCACCCUGCUGAAGCAUCUUUAUGGACAAUUUGAGUCAGGCAAACAAUAUUUUCACACAUUGCCACACAUGUUGCCGACAUAUUGGCAGAGCAUUUGUAGUUGAAGGUGCAAGUGGUAAAAGGGCUUCUGUCUGCUGUAUUGUUAGAAACUCUUCCUCUACUUCUGUUUACAUUUAUGAUGGUUUCAGAAUCAAUGCUAUCAUUUUUUUUUGUAUUAGAGCUGUAUUAUAGUAUUCUGUGGUUUUCCACCCAGUUUAACUACAAACUAUAUUCUUAGUCAUAUCCUCUCCUGCAUCAUAUCAGCAGUGGCCAACACAUCUGAUGCCCAGGGAACCUGCUUGUUUGUCAUAUUGCCUCUGCAUGAAGUUGUUUUCCUCCUUUCCCGUCUUGGCUGAAGUGUGGCAGCUGGGCAGCCAUUUUGGCUCCAAUCAGAGCUGCAGAGCCACAGGGCGCCCAGCGGUUGCUCAGUAGUCAGUGUAGAUCCUGUGGGGCUGGCAGCAGCUACAUCUGGCUACUGGGUCUCUGCUGGCAGCCAUGUUAUUCAGGAUACGUGAUGACACGAAGGCUUACUGUAUGAUUGAAUUUUAAGUUUUCUAAUGUACUCUAUAGAAUAUUUUCAGACAUAUUUGGAAUUCCUUUCUAACAGGAUUAGUGUAUUUUCUACUGUUUUCUAUGUGUAGUUCACACCCUCUCCUUGGGAUUUUUUCUGCCAUGCAGCUUUUAAAUUUCAAAGAAAUGUCUCGAAUGCCCACCCACUAUGAAGAGAACAUUCCUGGUGUCCUCCAAACUACCCAUGCAGUCUAGGAUUAACUCUGCUGCAGGCUUUUUUUUUUUUUUCUUUUUCAAUAAAAAUGAAAAUAACGUUUUGAAAUACUGAGUAAGUUCUGGACCUGGCAUACAGUGUAGGAUUCUGUGUGUGUCAGUCUACAGCUACAUUGUCUGCUGGGUUUCAGGCCUAUACGCUUACACAUCAAUGUCUACAAAUGUUUUUAUUUACUGUAAAUGAUAUAUCAAAUGAAUAUAUAUGAGUGUUGUAUGUUUUAAGGAACCAAAGAGCAUGGAUAAUUUGACAAUUGUGUUUAUUGACUCAUCAUAAAACAUUCUUCAAACAAUAAAACAAUUUUAAAUGUC
Long non-coding RNA from Siniperca chuatsi (mandarin fish), 2778 nucleotides. RefSeq lists it as uncharacterized. The transcript has 2 exons. The record is from RefSeq and is a predicted model, not a curated record. Lineage: Eukaryota; Metazoa; Chordata; Actinopteri; Centrarchiformes; Sinipercidae.